GAUAGAUUUUACAAAAGGCACCAACAUUCAUGCCAAGCAUGUUUUGCACCUACAACUGAACUGACUUGAAAUGAAAAUUUAAACCGAAACAUAAAAUGCUGAAUUUGUCAAACAUGAACCAGGCUACCAGCUCCUCUCCAGUUGCCUCCUGAAACAGCUAGCAAUCUGGCAUAGAGCUAUCUGAAACCGCUAGCAAUCUGGCAUAGAGCUAUCUGAAACCGCUAGCAAUCUGGCAUAGAGCUAUCUUAUGGCAAAGAAUAAUACAAGACUGGCCAUUCCAGGGGUACAAACUAUGAGAACAUUCGAAGGAAGUUGUUGGCAUAUGCCAUGGGCUUAACGUCAGGAUGAGGCACUGCUGAGAACGUAACAAUAUUUGGUUUCAACUCGGGGGCUUCAAAUUGCAUAAAAGCACCCUUAUUACCCAUCUGAUCGCAAUAAUUUGGGGCAGAGAAAACAGUAAUAAGUUUCCCAUCAUGCUCAAUCUCAUAGCCUUCAUCCUUUACUUCGUGAGAUCGUACAACUAAAUCUAGAUUAUUUUCCAGCAAAAAUUUUUCGGUCACAUCCACACCAAAAGAAAGGCCAACACCCCUCUUGCUAGGACCUCUUCCUGGGUAAGGUUGUGGAUCACUCCACAGCAAUUCACACAUCAACCCUUCCUCAGGGGGCUCACAAAACCGAUCAAUGGCUCUAAUGUCAGAUAGCUUCACCCCAUCAACACUAAAAAG
Molecule: unclassified non-coding RNA, 725 nt
Filed under: Hevea brasiliensis (rubber tree)
Lineage: Eukaryota; Viridiplantae; Streptophyta; Magnoliopsida; Malpighiales; Euphorbiaceae
Source: RNAcentral